Molecule: transfer RNA, 57 nt
Filed under: Peltonotellus sp.
Lineage: Eukaryota; Metazoa; Arthropoda; Insecta; Hemiptera; Caliscelidae
Description: tRNA-Val
Source: RNAcentral
CAGAAAUUUUUUUUUAUUUACAAUAAAUGUUUAGAUUAUUAGUUUAAUCAUUUCUGA